GAAGGCAUAGCUCAUAGUCGUGGAGCAUAUGCUUAGCAUGCACAAGGUCCUGGGUUCAAUCCCCAGUACCACCA
RNAcentral lists this transfer RNA (74 nucleotides) under Camelus bactrianus (Bactrian camel). It matches the Rfam family "tRNA". From Rfam's summary of the family: Transfer RNA (tRNA) molecules are approximately 80 nucleotides in length. Their secondary structure includes four short double-helical elements and three loops (D, anti-codon, and T loops). Further hydrogen bonds mediate the characteristic L-shaped molecular structure. tRNAs have two regions of fundamental functional importance: the anti-codon, which is responsible for specific mRNA codon recognition, and the 3' end, to which the tRNAs corresponding amino acid is attached (by aminoacyl-tRNA synthetases). tRNAs cope with the degeneracy of the genetic code in two manners: having more than one tRNA (with a specific anti-codon) for a particular amino acid; and 'wobble' base-pairing, i.e. permitting non-standard base-pairing at the 3rd anti-codon position. The record is from Rfam by way of RNAcentral. Lineage: Eukaryota; Metazoa; Chordata; Mammalia; Artiodactyla; Camelidae. RNAcentral also lists the same sequence under 1 other name.